Molecule: ribosomal RNA, 495 nt
Filed under: uncultured bacterium
Lineage: Bacteria
Description: bacterial SSU rRNA
Rfam family: Bacterial small subunit ribosomal RNA
Source: RNAcentral
AACGAACGCUGGCGGCGUGGAUAAGACAUGCAAGUCGAACGGGUUUUCAUUUGUAGCAAUACAGGUGGGAAUCAGUGGCGCAAGGGUGCGUAACACGUGGGCAACCUGCCCUGGAGACUGGGAUAGCCCGCCGAAAGGCGGAUUAAUACCGGAUGCGGCUACCAAAGGACUCUCUGGGACGCUAAAGGUGGCGCAAGCUACCGCUCUUGGAUGGGCCCGCGGCCUAUCAGCUAGUUGGUGAGGUUACGGCUCACCGAGGCGAUGACGGGUAGCUGGUCUGAGAGGACGACCAGCCACACUGGAACUGAGACACGGUCCAGACACCUACGGGUGGCAGCAGUCGAGAAUUUUUCUCAAUGGGGCAACCCUGAAGGAGCGACGCCGCGUGGAGGAUGAAGGCUUUCGGGUUGUAAACUCCUGUCUAUUGGGAACAAGUUACACACGUUACUGCGUGGUAGUUGAUAGUACAGAAGAGGAAGAGACGGCUAACUCUGU